GCCUCCAUGGUGUAAUGGUCAGCACGCUCGACGCGUAUUCGAGAGGUCCGUGGUUCGAGUCCCGGCGAGGGCA
This 73-nucleotide transfer RNA is filed under the name Stegodyphus mimosarum. It matches the Rfam family "tRNA". Rfam says of the family: Transfer RNA (tRNA) molecules are approximately 80 nucleotides in length. Their secondary structure includes four short double-helical elements and three loops (D, anti-codon, and T loops). Lineage: Eukaryota; Metazoa; Arthropoda; Arachnida; Araneae; Eresidae. The record is from Rfam by way of RNAcentral.